GACGAACGCUGGCGGCGGUGGAUUAGGCAUGCAAGUCGAACGGUAUCAUCCUUUCGGGGGUGAGAGAGUAGCGAACUGGUGAGUAACACGUAGGUUAUCUACCCUCAAGACGGGGGACAACCCGGGAAACUUGGGCUAAUACCGGAUGUGAGCAACUUUUAGUUGUUUGAAAGGUGGCGUAAGCUGUCGCUUGGGGAUGAGCCUGCGUCCUAUUAGUUAGUUGGUGAGGUAACGGCUCACCUAGGCAAUGAUAGGUAGGCGGCCUUAACGGGUGGUCGCCCACACUGGGAUUGAGAUACGGCCCAGACUCCUACGGGAGGCAGCAGUCGAGAAUAGUCUACAAUGGUCGGAAGACUGAUAGUGCGACGCCGCGUGAACGAUGAAUCCCUUCGGGGUGUAAAGUUCUUUUAUAUGUGAGCAGUGCUUCUUAUAUUAACAGUAUGGGGAGAGAGAUAUUAGCAUAUGAAUAAGCAACGGCUAACUCCGUG
RNAcentral lists this ribosomal RNA (488 nucleotides) under uncultured bacterium. Its description in RNAcentral is "bacterial SSU rRNA". It matches the Rfam family "Bacterial small subunit ribosomal RNA", at positions 28 to 507 of the family's 1533-position model. The record is from RNAcentral.